RNAcentral lists this small RNA (29 nucleotides) under Bombyx mori (domestic silkworm). RNAcentral's name for it is "ovarian small RNA-12813". Lineage: Eukaryota; Metazoa; Arthropoda; Insecta; Lepidoptera; Bombycidae. The record is from RNAcentral.
CAACGUGUCGUCGGCGUAACAAAUUACGC